GUUGAACGCUGGCGGCGUGCCUAAUACAUGCAAGUCGAGCGAACAGACGAGGCUCUUUCUCCUCUUACGUUAGCGGCGGGUGGGUGAGUCACACGUUUCUAACCUACCUUUAAGACUGGGAUCCCUUCGCGAAACCUUAGCUCCUACCGGAUCAUAUAUUGAACCUCAUGGUUCAUUCUUGCAAGCCCUUUUUGCUGUCCCUUAUUGAUGUAUCCUCGCCGCAUUAGCUAGUUGGUAAGGUAACGGCUUACCAAGGCCACGAUGCGUAGCCGACCUGAGAGGGUGAUCGGACACACUGGAACUGAGACACGGUCCAGACUCCUAAGGGAGGCAGCAGUAGGGAAUAUUCGGCAAUGGGCGAAAGCCUGACGGAGCAACGCCGCGUGAGUGAUGAAGGUCUUCGGAUCGUAAAACUCUGUUAUUAGGGAAGAACAAAUGUGAAAGUAAAUAUGCACGUCUUGACGGUACCUAAUGAGAAAGCAACGGCUAACUACGUG
Molecule: ribosomal RNA, 497 nt
Filed under: uncultured bacterium
Lineage: Bacteria
Description: partial 16S ribosomal RNA
Rfam family: Bacterial small subunit ribosomal RNA
Source: RNAcentral